This 1240-nucleotide long non-coding RNA is filed under the name Pogona vitticeps (central bearded dragon). Its description in RNAcentral is "lncRNA (ENSPVIG00000011016.1)". The record is from RNAcentral. Lineage: Eukaryota; Metazoa; Chordata; Lepidosauria; Squamata; Agamidae.
AUGGUGGUGCCUGUCCCACCUCCCUGCUUAAGCCUUCCUGGCUCCGGAUUCUGGCCGGUGUCCGGUGGAUCCUUUGCUACGACUGGGCGGGGGGGGGAACUCAGGUGGCUUCCCUCCAGAGAGAUUCCCCGUCUCCUGCUCUUUCUCCUUUGGCCAGUCCCGGAGGUGGGCUCUGUGUACCCCCUCCCCUCGCCCAACUGGACCAUCUCCAGGGGGAAGGAAGGUCCAGGGCGGCUCCAGGCUGACCAGGCCGUGGAUCGGAGCCUUGGCGCGUGGCUCCGGCUUCCGAGUCGGGCACAAGCUGCCCGGGGCUCCUCGGCCUCCUCGCAGGAGAAUCGCCCGAAGCCCCCCCCCAAGAAGUUGUUCCUCUUGAACGGCCGAGUUCCGAUUCAUGAUCUCAUCGGGCAUCGCCCAGCAACCCCGGGGUCACAGGAGGCAGUUCUGGAACACGGCUCCGCGCGGCCCCUGUGGACGUCUUCCGGGGUCAAAGACAAGAUGGGCCGGUGGGCCGAGGGUCUCUGGCUGAGCAGCCUUGGUUGGGGCCUGGGCGUGUCAGAGCGGCCCUCCUGGUACUACGUGGGGCUCGAGGUGCCCUCGGACACGGCCGACCUCUCUGAGGGGCGCCCCGGUUGCUUCCUCUUGGAGGUGCUGCAUUACACCUACUGGGUCUUCCUCAGCAUCUUGGCCAUCAUGGUCCUCUUCUCGGCCCGCCUUUUCUUGAGACGCUUUCUCAGCUUCCAGGAGGCACCAACAAAGCCGAAGGACUCGCCCGGAAAAGACCCCGAAGAAAGGCAGCUCAUGGAGGCGCUCCAUUUGUUAGAAGCCGUGAUGUUCAAAAUCCAGUGCCAUCUCAAGCAGCGGGAGCAACGGCAGCAGCGCCAGCAGCACCGGCACCGGCUGCGGCACCGGCAGAGAAGGACGGACCCCCUCCAGCUCGCUCCCGGCCCUGGCCUGGAAUAAACCGAACGGAAGGACCUGGCGAGGCCACGGCAUCACCUCCCCCCCCCACGCUUUCCUCUGCCGGCAGUGCCACGGAGGGGCGCUGGGGUGACCCCCUGAAAGGGGAAGCCAGGACCACCUGCAGCCGGAUGAGGCGCCGCAACAACCCACUCGCCCUGGCAGGGCUGGGGGAGUUCCUAUGCCACCGGAAAGGGCCCCGUGGGUCAUCCGGGCGGCCACUCUGGCCACCCCACCUGAGGCCGGAGAAAGUUAGCCCGAAUAAAUUACCGGCUGAAAGCCA